CUAAAAAUAAAUAAAUAAAAUAUUUUUUAAAAAAUAAAUUUGUGUCAUUUUAAGUCACUUAACAAAAAUUCUUCAUAAUGAAGUACAAGUAUACAGUUUUAGUUUUGCAAAGUGAAGAGCUCUGGAGAUGGAUGGUGGUGAUCACCGCAUAACAAUGGGUAUGUAAUCUGUGAAAAGGGGGGUUCUAGGACAGUGACCUGACAGGGGAAUCUGAUCAUAAAUUUCUACCUGGGAAGGUCAUUUCUACCUGGGAGGUCACAACCAAGGCCUCUGUCUUCUUUAGUAAGAGGUUUUUAAGCAAGCCCUGUCUGUUGUUCUUGUGUCUCUAGGUUAAUACACCUUUGAAAUACCAGAAGUAAUACCCCUUGAAGAGUAUUAACCCUCAAGAAAAUUAACAUAAUCUUGUUAACUAUCCCAUGAUCCAAUCCCUGCCUCACUUUCUCCCCACCUCCACAUAAUCUUCCUUACAUUCCCUCCUUAAUUUUAAAUGCACAAAAGAAGCUGCAAAACAGUUAUUCUCUGGAGAUUUUGAGAUCUUGCUCCUCAGCAUAUGUUGUCAGUUUGGUUGAAACAAACUCUUACAACAAUUCUCUACAGGUUUGGAUGCUACUUACAUCGACAAAUUAAUGCCGCUGAACAUGGUUAAGAGGGUAAAUUUUGCCAUGGGUAUUUUACCACAAAAAAAAAAAAAA
Phyllostomus discolor (pale spear-nosed bat) is the source of this 692-nucleotide long non-coding RNA. RefSeq lists it as uncharacterized. The record is from RefSeq and is a predicted model, not a curated record. NCBI's taxonomy places the organism in Eukaryota, Metazoa, Chordata, Mammalia, Chiroptera, Phyllostomidae. The transcript is spliced from 2 exons.